ACUGCUCGUCGCCAUAUAUAGAUCACGCCAAAUUAGCAUACUUCCCGCCUAACUUUUUAAUGUGGAUCCACUUGUGAGAAAAAAAAUUGGAGCCCGCCAAGGCACAACACCACAUCAGCCCAAUUAUUUCUCCUGGUCCUGAACAGCACCCUCACGCACAGCACACUUUCCUUUUCCUGGGCAACGCACGCACACAGCACCCCGCCGCCGCCAGCUCCAAUCGAGAAAAAAAAUCCCGCAGCCACCACC
RNAcentral lists this long non-coding RNA (249 nucleotides) under Sorghum bicolor (sorghum). Its description in RNAcentral is "long non-coding RNA (SBIC_LNC013085)". Lineage: Eukaryota; Viridiplantae; Streptophyta; Magnoliopsida; Poales; Poaceae. The record is from RNAcentral.